AGUAACUGCGAGUGAAGUGGGAAAAGCUCAAAUUUAAAAUCUGGCAGUCAUUUGAUUGUCCGAGUUGUAAUCUAGAGAAGUGUUGCCCGUGCUGGACCAUGUACAAGUCUCCUGGAAUGGAGCAUCACAGAGGGUGAGAAUCCUGUCUUUGACAUGGACUACCAGUGCUUUUGUGGUAUGCUCUCAAAGAGUCGAGUUGUUUGGGAAUGCAGCUCAAAACGGGUGGUAAAUGCCAUCUAAAGCUAAAUAUUGGCGAGAGACCGAUAGCGAACAAGUACCGUGAGGGAAAGAUGAAAAGAACUUUGGAAAGAGAGUUAAACAGUACGUGAAAUUGCUGAAAGGGAAACGCUUGAAGUCAGUCACGUUGACUUGAAAUCAGCUCUGCUUUUGCUGGGUGUACUUUCUUGUUCAAUGGGUCAGCAUCAAUUUUGAUCAUUGGAUAAAGUUAUUGGGAAUGUAGCAUCUUUAGAUGUGUUAUAGCCCAGUGAUGCAUACAGUGGUUGGGAUUGAGGAGCUCAGCACGCCACCAGGCCGGGUUUUGACCACGUUCGUGCUUAGGAUGCUGGCAUAAUGGCUUUAAUUGACCCGUCUUGAAACACGGACCAAGGAGUCUAACAUAUCUGCGAGUGUUUGGGUGGAAAACCCAUGUGCAUAAUGAAAGUGAAAGUUGAGAUCCCUUUCUCUGAGGGAGCAUCGACGCCCGGACCAGACCUUUUGUGAUGGAUCCGCGGUAGAGCAUGUAUGUUGGGACCCGAAAGAUGGUGAACUAUGCCUGAAUAGGGUGAAGCCAGAGGAAACUCUGGUGGAGGCUCGUAGCGAUUCUGACGUGCAAAUUGAUCGUCAAAUUUGGGUAUAGGG
This 858-nucleotide ribosomal RNA is filed under the name Inocybe sp. MS-2018a. RNAcentral's name for it is "partial 28S ribosomal RNA". It matches the Rfam family "Eukaryotic large subunit ribosomal RNA", at positions 82 to 922 of the family's 3401-position model. The record is from RNAcentral. Lineage: Eukaryota; Fungi; Basidiomycota; Agaricomycetes; Agaricales; Inocybaceae.